GUAGUAUCAGCUACUUCUUCCCAUAGCUCUUUGUCCCAAAUGAUGUGAUCAGAGCAAGUUUGUCUUUGAUUGGGAAAAAAAAAAAAAAAAAAAAGAAUCCAUGCUGGAGCCAGCUUUACCUUCUGCCCUGCCAGGUAAGAAGCAAACCUUCUAGCAACUUCACCCUUGGAGUCCGAGAAGGAUGGGAAAUUCCCCUGGAAGCCCAGAAAGAACCGAGGCCAAACUCUGGGCUUUUUCUGAGCAAACAUUUUGAGAGAAACCAAAGUGAUGAUGAUGUGGAAGAGCGGCCGGGGCUGUCCCCUCGAACAGCAGCAAGACUGAUGAAAACACAGGGAUUAGAACAGAUGAAUCAUUGCCAGUCCUCUCCCUGACGGCGUUUGCUAGUGGCAACCCGAUAAAUACCGGAUCUCCGAAAGCGCUGACAAGCUACCCACCAGGCCUGGGAGUUAGAUGGCUUUUGAAAUUGGUGGGAGGAGAAAGCGGGGAGUGAAGACACGGAGGCGUACCCCCCCUUCCAGAAUUCACAUUCUUCCUUUUGGGAGACAACCGAGACUCAAGUUAAAUGACUGUCAAAAUAAGGAAGAGGAGGAGGUGGCUUUCAAAUUCAAAGCCCAGGCUUCCUCACUGGAUGAAACAUCCAGCCACAUGCAGUCAAAGAGACCAUAUUGGUAAAAGAAAGGAAGAGAAAAAGCCCCCCAGCUAAAAACAAAAACCUAGGAUUAAGGAACACUUUCUUCAAGGAGAAUACCAAAUCCCUGGCCAUGGUUUCGUAAUAAUGGGUGUAGAGUUCGCGUUGCUGACACUUCCUAUGAUUCAGCUCUGCCAUCUUACUCAGCUCUUUGCGAAAUUAAACCACAUUUUAGAAUAGGAAACAAUAUCGGACUGAUAAUAAUUUCUGUUUAAAAUCUGGUAAUUUAAAACGCAGGUGAAAAUGAAUGGAAUGACAUAGAUUUUUAUCUCACCUUCUAGUCACAGAAAUGUUGAGUGUGAAAAACAUUGAAUUCCAAAUUCCAGAAAUAAAA
Molecule: long non-coding RNA, 1022 nt
Filed under: Vulpes vulpes (red fox)
Lineage: Eukaryota; Metazoa; Chordata; Mammalia; Carnivora; Canidae
Description: lncRNA (ENSVVUG00000003820.1)
Source: RNAcentral